UGUAAGCGUAUACCAAAGUUGUUGCAGUUAAAACGCUCGUAGUCGGAAUUUGGCAGUUCCGGAUGUGUGCACGUCGUGUGCGCACUUCGCGGGGAUUGCUUUUGUGGUCUUGCGUAGGAUGAGGCACUUUUAUUAGUGAACGUCCUCACGCAACCACUUUUUACUGUGAGAAAAUCAGAGUGCUCAAAGCAGGCAUUUGCCGUGAAUGUAUUAGCAUGGAAUAAUAGAAUAGGACUUGGUUCUAUUUUGUUGGUUUGUUGGGACUGAGUAAUGAUUAAGAGGGACAGUUGGGGGCAUUUGUAUUUCGGUGCUAGAGUUGAAAUUCUUAGAUUACCGAAAGACAAACUGCUGCGAAAGCGUCUGCCAAGGAUGUUUUCAUUGA
RNAcentral lists this ribosomal RNA (382 nucleotides) under uncultured eukaryote. Its description in RNAcentral is "partial 18S ribosomal RNA". It matches the Rfam family "Eukaryotic small subunit ribosomal RNA", at positions 592 to 976 of the family's 1831-position model. The record is from RNAcentral.